RNAcentral lists this unclassified non-coding RNA (208 nucleotides) under Hevea brasiliensis (rubber tree). The record is from RNAcentral. Lineage: Eukaryota; Viridiplantae; Streptophyta; Magnoliopsida; Malpighiales; Euphorbiaceae.
GUUAUCUGCUUAUCUAACCAUGUUUUUGUAUUGAGCUUGCAUGUUCAUUCUUGUAGUUUAGGAUGCUUGCAUUUUAGUUUUUCACUUGAAAUAUUGAGUAUUGUGGAACUGAAAUAUUCUACUACUCAUCAUGGAUUGGUGCAUGCAAUAUAUGUAUAUGGAUAGAUUUUGUUCUAGAAUACGUGCUAAGUGGAACUUGUAAUUGUAG